RNAcentral lists this ribosomal RNA (619 nucleotides) under Pseudopimelodus sp. LBP2397. Its description in RNAcentral is "partial 12S ribosomal RNA". It matches the Rfam family "Bacterial small subunit ribosomal RNA", at positions 39 to 1073 of the family's 1533-position model. Lineage: Eukaryota; Metazoa; Chordata; Actinopteri; Siluriformes; Pseudopimelodidae. The record is from RNAcentral.
UUAGCUCAAUUUAUACAUGCAAGUAUCUGCAUCCCUGUUGAGAAUGCCCUCAAUCCCCCAACCGGGGACAAGGAGCAGGCAUCAGGCACACCAUCUUAAUGUUAGCCCAAGACGCCUUGCUACGCCACACCCCCAAGGGAACUCAGCAGUAAUAAAUAUUAAGCUAUAAGUGAAAACUUGACUUAGUUAGAGCUAAGAGGGUCGGUAAAAUUCGUGCCAGCCACCGCGGUUAUACGAAAGACCCUAGUUGAUAUUCACGGCGUAAAGGGUGGUUAAGGAAAAAUACAAAUAAAGCUAAAGAGUCCCUAAGCCGUCGUACGCACUCCGAGAACUCGAAACCCAAAAACGAAAGUAGCUUUAAAACACAUUCACCUGACCCCACGAAAGCUAAGAAACAAACUGGGAUUAGAUACCCCACUAUGCUUAGCCCUAAACCAAGAUGUAAAUUUACACACACAUCCGCCCGGGUACUACGAGCACAGCUUAAAACCCAAAGGACUUGGCGGUGUCUCAGACCCACCUAGAGGGGCCUGUUCUAGAACCGAUAAACCCCGUUAAACCUCACCAUUUCUUGGUUUUCCCGCCUAUAUACCGCCGUCGUCAGCUUACCCCGUGAAGG